Long non-coding RNA from Siniperca chuatsi (mandarin fish), 3518 nucleotides. RefSeq lists it as uncharacterized. Lineage: Eukaryota; Metazoa; Chordata; Actinopteri; Centrarchiformes; Sinipercidae. The record is from RefSeq and is a predicted model, not a curated record. The transcript has 3 exons.
UGGAAGUAUAGAGGACCGCCAAUGUUAAGGCCAAUGUUAAGACACCAAAUGUUUCACCACCACAGGUGUUUUCACUUGUUUUGCCUGAUUUGACCUCUUCUCGGGACUGUGUGGGCUGUAAGACUCCUUUUUUUUGUUACGUUUUAAUUUAGGGACAAAUGAUCCGAGAAAUACUGUUUACAGUGUCUUCUGUGGGUUAUGCAUGAUAACGGAAACAUUGUCUCGGGAAAGAAAUGUCGCAGUUGAAUUUUGCAAAUGUAAACUGUCACUGCUGCGAGCACCAGAACAACGUAUCAUUCACCGCCAUUGUACUGGGAGGGCGGCAGAGAUGGAUGUCUGAAAACAAAAACAAAACUAUUUGCACGGCUAGAUAGCACUAGAGGUCAGUCAUCAUAGAGCCAAGGUUUAGCUGUGACUGUAAACACAGCCAGCACCCAGCCUGAAGCCUGCCUUCUCUGAUCUGCUGACUCACUCUGCACAUAGCGGACCAUUCAGUCCAGGAGGGGGAGAUACCAGGAAGAGGUCCUGUUUGAGGGAGGAGUGAGCAGUGAUAAGAGUCAAUAAGAGGGCACAGGCACUGCAGAUAGAACGACCUGCCACAGAGAAACCUGGAGAGGGGUGAGAAAUCCUCCAUCGAGGUACACUUCCUUUUUAAUAAUGUUUAUAGAGGGAAGCAAGGAGAUGUUUUUAUUUAACUAAAAACCACCAACACAGACACUCAACCCUAAAGACUGACUUUCACUCUGCUAUUACUGUCUUAUCUUGAGCCAAUGAGGAUGCGAUAUGGAGAAAUUAAAUACUGAUGUGUGUGGGGGUAGAGACAAAGGCUUCUUGUGUACUGUUCCCGAGCACAGGUUAGAGGAUUCAGUUACAGUCAUGCUCUUGCUGCCAUGACAAAGGAGGACACACGCAUCACUCUGUGGCACUGUCUCCUUUGGCAGUCGGUGGAGUGAGAGAUCACAACAUAAUUUCCAGGCAGGAAGGAACAUGCUGGUGGAACAUGCGUGAGGCAGAAGGCCACUGAACAGGCGUGAACAUUAACACAAACACUGCCAGUCAAAAUGACUGAUUACCUUGGAGGGCGUGCUGUGAAAAGUCAAUUCAGCACUCAAACCCCCUCUAUCCCCCAGCCUUUAAAUGCUGGCCCACAAGCCAACAUGCACCUCUCCCUGGUUUGUUCAAAAUGUAUAAUCAUUAAAAUACUACCAGUGGUUGGUCUUCAUUGUAAUUUCUAAGUUGUGUGGUUUGAAACUCCUUGUGCCUAAGCUGUUGCUAUUAGUCUUCCACAGCCACACUUACAAGUUGAAUGUCUAAUUUGAAAUGUCCCAAACUCACUGUGAUUCUAAAUUGAUUUUACACAGACUACAAUUCUGUCCUUAUUUAAAGCUAGAAAAUGUGGCGGAGCCCUAGUUACAAUAGUAGAGCUUAUAGAUAACAUAAAAGUUACAGGAUAUGACAUUAUACUGUGUAAUUCCUAAGCACUGAGAUGAAUGCAAACCUAAUGAAGUUAACAAACAAUAAAGCAAUUUUUAUCCUCAGUGCUUUAGCACAGUGUCUGCUACUGUAAGUGCUCACAUACCAGUUGAGUCUCACUCCCAGUGGACUUGGUCAGGGCUUCUGUUUUCUCUCUCUGUAUUUAUAGCCUGUUUUCUAUCGGAGGAAGACUAGCUGUCCUCAAACUGCCCUUCACAUCUGCAGAAACACUAGCCUCUAGUGCCACCACACAACCAGACCCUGAUAUAUCACAUUCUCUUUUGUGAACUCCCUGACACCCGGAGCCUCUCUUACAAGAAUACUGCGCAGCACCCAUUUGAAUAAUGAGUGAUUAUAAUUAUAUUAUUUAUUUGUUUAUGUUUUAAAAUAUUGUGAGGAUUUCGGCAGCUACUUUGUAAUGUUAGCAACAUUUCGGUUAUUAAACUGGUGUACAGCUCUGUCAUGCUGACAGUUAUCUAGUUGGGUCUUAGGUCGGUUGACCAAAAGUAAACUGUACCAACAGUACCUGCAAGAACAGUUAACAGAAAUAGUUUGACAUUUUGUGAAUUACAUUUGUUAGAUGAAUCCUCCUUCCAAUCCUUAUCUAAAUCUCGACAAGAAAGCUACCACUCUCGUGUACGUAUGCUAAAUAUGAUGCUGCAGCCAGUUAGCUUAGCACAACGAUGGGAAACAGCAGGAAACAGUUAGCCUGACUGUCUGAAGGUAACAGAAUCUGCAUAUAAGCACCUCUAAAGCUCACUAAUUAACACACUAUAUCUUGUUUGUUUAAUCUGUACAAAAAAAAUUAAGUGUAGGAACAACAAUUUAUGAUUCAGAACCAGGCUACCUGUUUCCCCUUGUUUUCAACAUAAAUCAAUUUAUCUACAGUUAAGGGCCUUAAAAAGUAUUUUAAAAAGUCUUAAACGCCAUUUUCCGAGGUAGGCUAUUCAAUUUCGUAGCUUGUUUUCAGUAUAUUUAUUCUUUAAGAAAAAAAAAAGUUAAUUCAAAACCCAGUUCUUUAGUAACGAAGAAUACCGGUAAGAAUAUUGAUAAAGAACAGGCCGAUAAGUAUAUGGAUAACAUAAAGAUACAAUCCUAAAGAUACCCACCCCUACAGCUGGUUAGUGGCUUCACCCUGAUUUUGGGAGGAUGAGCAAAUUGCAUUUCAAAUCCCUUCACUAUAAGCCUUGUUUAACCAAUGUUUUGUGAUUAUUAUUUUUUUUAUGGCACACAGGCAACUACAACCUGUGUGUGCUUUUUUAAUACUCUAAAAAUAUGGGAAAAUGCAAAGUCUCCCUGCAACCACAGCACCGCGCUGUGCUCUGUGCUUUGUGUAUUUUCCUGAUUUUUUUUUUUUUGUCCUUUUGUCAAUCACAUGCCUGAUUGCUGAUAUUACUCUUUCUAAUAAAACUUGCAUUGGGUUAGUCACUCAAUUCAACUCGAAGUGGCGAUGAAAUCUUGAAAAAUGUAUAGAAAGUCUUAAAAAGGUCUUAAAAGGUAUUAAAUUUAACUUCAGGAUUCCUGCUUUUUCUAUCAUGGCCUGUAUCUUAUUUGCAUUUAACAAAUAGGUACAUGGAGGGGUAGCAGAGAUCAGACCAUGUUGUCAACUCUUUGUGUUGUUACAGUUGAAAUGUCUAUUUUGAUAGCCAAACUCUGUUUCCUGCAAAUUUUUGAUCUGUUGACAGACACGUGCCCUCAAAUAUCUGACAGCGCAUUUUUAGAUUUAAUUUCCAUUGUGUUCCUCAUUGUCCCAUAUUGUAGCAGCGUAAAACAACUCUUUAACUCCAUGUCCAUAUGGCUUCUCUUAGCGGUUGUUUGCCUAGAGCCCUUUCUCAGUGACCGUGUCAAACUGCCUUCCUCGGAUCAUGGGCCUUUGACAGGAGAAUAGAUUGCAUGUAUUUAUAUUUCACAGAAAAAAUCAGCAGUCUAUUGCCUGAGGGUCUGGUUGCCUAUCAACGUCCUUCACGAUUGUUGGAGAGGGAAUAUGUCACACUUUCAUCUGUCAACAUGGACAAGAAGAAUGUUGUUUCAGGUUUCAAAUGGAA